RNAcentral lists this ribosomal RNA (254 nucleotides) under uncultured bacterium. Its description in RNAcentral is "partial 16S ribosomal RNA". It matches the Rfam family "Bacterial small subunit ribosomal RNA", at positions 524 to 776 of the family's 1533-position model. The record is from RNAcentral.
UACAGAGGUCUCAAGCGUUGUUCGGAUUCAUUGGGCGUAAAGGGCGCGUAGGCGGCCACGACAAGUCAGUUGUGAAAUCUCUGGGCUUAACUCAGAACGGUCAACUGAUACUGUCGGGCUAGAGUGCAGAAGGGGCAACUGGAAUUCUCGGUGUAGCGGUGAAAUGCGUAGAUAUCGAGAGGAACACCUGCGGCGAAGGCGGGUUGCUGGGCUGACACUGACGCUGAGGCGCGAAAGCUAGGGGAGCGAACGGG